UCGAGCGUCAUUUCAACCAAUCAAGCCUAGGCUUGGUCUUGGGGCAUGCGGGUUUUCGCAGCCUCUAAAAUCAGUGGCGGUGCUAGUUAGCUCCGAGCGUAGUAAUACUCCUCGCUAUAGAGUCUAGGUAGUGUCUUGCCAACAACCCCUAAAUUUUUCAGGUUGACCUCGGAUCAGGUAGGGAUACCCGCUGAACUUAA
RNAcentral lists this unclassified non-coding RNA (200 nucleotides) under soil metagenome. RNAcentral's name for it is "partial contains internal transcribed spacer 2 and large subunit ribosomal RNA". The record is from RNAcentral.